Molecule: transfer RNA, 56 nt
Filed under: Dicrocoelium dendriticum
Lineage: Eukaryota; Metazoa; Platyhelminthes; Trematoda; Plagiorchiida; Dicrocoeliidae
Description: tRNA-Lys
Source: RNAcentral
GGUAGCUUAAUUGAAAGUUUGGGUUCUUGCCCCAAGGUUGUGUUUUACCCGUUGGU